UCACGGGUGGGCCGUGGUGUCCGGGCCGGACUGUUCGAGCUCGUCCAGUCUGCGGCGCAGGUGGGCCCGUUCGGGUUCGGUGCCGGCGAG
Molecule: transfer RNA, 90 nt
Filed under: Streptomyces kurssanovii
Lineage: Bacteria; Bacillati; Actinomycetota; Actinomycetes; Kitasatosporales; Streptomycetaceae
Description: tRNA-Ser
Source: RNAcentral